This 2145-nucleotide long non-coding RNA is filed under the name Manihot esculenta (cassava). RNAcentral describes it as "long non-coding RNA (MESC_LNC001839)". The record is from RNAcentral. Lineage: Eukaryota; Viridiplantae; Streptophyta; Magnoliopsida; Malpighiales; Euphorbiaceae.
CGGCGAUAAAUAAAAUAAUACGAAAAAUCCAAAUUUUUUUGUUAUUGUAAUUUCGUCCUCUAAUUUUGGUGUUUUCUCAAUAUGGCCUCUUUAAGUUAAAAUUUGUGCAACUGUGUCCUCUCACCUUUUUUAACCUUGCAAAUGAGAGGUAUUAUCUUAUCAGGGGCUCCCCACUACUGUUCGGUGAUUCAUUGAGCUGUUAAUUUACUCGCUCUUUUUUACAAAAUAGAGUCCUGAAAUUUUAUGUAUUUACAAAAAUUAGUAUAAAUGAAGGAUAAAGCAUGGACAAGGAAGGAGAGAAGAGAGCAAAUAUAGUAAGAAAAAUGAUCGAGGUACAGCAAAAGAAUCUGCCCAAGUGCAGCUGUGGUGGAGGUAGAUAGAAGAGACGAAACAAGGGAAAGUGAAAGCUGCUGCAAAUGAAACUAAUGGCUGUGAUUCAUGCUGGAAUAAUCAAGCGGUAGAAGAGGUAAGAGUGUCGGAAAGUUGUAAGGAAACAAGCAAUUGCAGCUUUUCGAAGAAUGAGUUUUCAUUUGAAAUCAAACUGUUAGAGACAGAAUUUUGCUUGAAUGAAAUAGUGUGCACUAGGAAAUUGGGAAGAGCUAAGGCGUUGUCGAAGUUGGAUUCGGGGACUUCUAAGUAAUGAAUAUUGCUGUUUGUUUUCUUGAAAUUAAAACCUGCAAUUAUAGGUAAGGAGGAAUUUAAUAAUUGAAGUUGGAUGAUGAGUUUUAAGAAUAAUCCCAUCAAUAAUUUGUUCUCUUAAAUUUCGAAUGAGAGUAGUCAUUGACAAGAUGAUUGAUUUGUUUUCUAAGCAAAAUUAGAAUUGAUUUUAAACCACCUUUGAGGAGAAGUCUAAUGCGUCUCACAAUUAGUUCCUGCAACUAGUCUAAUUGAUGUUCUCCUUAUGUUGGAAAGACUACAUUCAUCUCAUUUUAUUACAUGAGCUCAAAAUCCUAUGAACUGAAUUGAUAAGAUUAAGAAUUUGAGCUUCAAAAAUUAUUUUGCAUCUUUCCUUUUAAAUGUGCCAAAUUAAUUUAUUUGGACAUCUUCUUAGAGGCACCGGGACUGGAAAAAUAAUCAUAACAGUUUCUUUAUCAAUCCAGGUUUUCAAAGAUAACUUAGCAAAUUUACUAUUCGAUCAUUAGCUAAAAUAUAUAUAUAUAUGAUUAACUAAUUGGCGAAUUUGAGAAAGAGUAGAUGUUAUAUCCAAUUGAAAAAGAAUGUUAUUCAGAUACAUUUCAAGUAAUUGUAGUAAAAUCUGAUCUAUUGACCUUAAGAUGUUUGUGUCAAUACAAGCAUGUUCAAGUAAUUGUUACUCUGUAAAAUCAUAAUGAAAAUGCAAUUUUAUUUUUCUUCUAAACAAGUACGAUAUUGAAAUUUUCUCUAAACAUGAUUGAUUUAAGAUCACUCCGGAUCUAGGCCUUUUUACUAAUUAGUCUCGGCAAAGCUCCUAGAGGGAGUCGGUUGAUGAGGGUGAAAUUCAAUUUAUAGGUUUAUUGGAGAAGGUAAUUAAGGAAAAGAGAACACAUAUAUUAGAGCUGACAACUCGCGUUUGCUAGUCAUGAACAAGCCAUAUCAGCUUUACAAGAUUCUACCAUUAUUUGAAAAAAAAAAUUACAAUUAACAGAUAAUUACUACAAACAGGACACUCACCCUCAUUCAUCAUCGAUCAUCAUUCCCAUUUUCUCAAAAGAAAAAACAAUAAAGGGCCAUCGUACCCUUCGCUCCUCCAACAGAAAAGAUAAACUAGAAGCCUGAAUAAAUCAAACAUUAUAAAUUGACUACAUAUUCUCUGAAUAAUUCAAUCCAUUCAAAUCAAAUAUUAUGAAUUGGUUAUAUAUUUUCUGGUUAACUCAAUGGAUUCAAGGCUCAAGCCCUCUGAUGACCCAAAAUCGAUUUGUCCAAUGAUCCUACAAUAUGUAAAUGAUUUGAAGUCUAUAUAGUCUUGAUCUAGAUUACAUACCCUAUACAUUGCUAAUAUAUGGUUUCUUAGUCGUAGGGAUUUCUGAAGUUCUUCAAGAGCUCUGGAAUGUCAUAACCAAGCAUGUCAUCUACAGCUUGUAUCAUUUUAGGCUUCAACUUUUCAAACUUGUCGAUGCUGUAACCGGUCAAAACCUCUCUGAAGUGCUCAACAUUUGGGAAAUCACC